UACGGAGGGUGCAAGCGUUAUCCGGAUUCACUGGGUUUAAAGGGUGCGUAGGUGGGUUGAUAAGUCAGUGGUGAAAUCUCCGAGCUUAACUCGGAAAGGUCAACUGAUACUGUGCGGCUAGAGUGCGGAAGGGGCAACUGGAAUUCUUGGUGUAGCGGUGAAAUGCGUAGAUAUCAAGAGGAACACCUGCGGCGAAGGCGGGUUGCUGGGCCGACACUGACGCUGAGGCGCGAAAGCCAGGGGAGCGAACGGG
This 253-nucleotide ribosomal RNA is filed under the name uncultured bacterium. RNAcentral describes it as "partial 16S ribosomal RNA". It matches the Rfam family "Bacterial small subunit ribosomal RNA", at positions 524 to 776 of the family's 1533-position model. The record is from RNAcentral.